This 210-nucleotide ribosomal RNA is filed under the name Debaryomyces hansenii. Its description in RNAcentral is "partial large subunit ribosomal RNA". It matches the Rfam family "Eukaryotic large subunit ribosomal RNA", at positions 68 to 276 of the family's 3401-position model. The record is from RNAcentral. Lineage: Eukaryota; Fungi; Ascomycota; Pichiomycetes; Serinales; Debaryomycetaceae.
CAGGGGAAUGCCUUUAGUACGGCGAGUGAAGCGGCAAAAGCUCAAAUUUGAAAUCUGGCACCUUCGGUGUCCGAGUUGUAAUUUGAAGAAGGUAACUUUGGAGUUGGCUCUUGUCUAUGUUCCUUGGAACAGGACGUCACAGAGGGCGACAAUCCCCUGCGAUGAGAUGCCCAAUUCUAUGUAAAGUGCUUUCGAAGAGCGAGUUGUCUG